Molecule: transfer RNA, 83 nt
Filed under: Canis lupus familiaris (dog)
Lineage: Eukaryota; Metazoa; Chordata; Mammalia; Carnivora; Canidae
Also listed under: 1 other name
Rfam family: tRNA
About the family: Transfer RNA (tRNA) molecules are approximately 80 nucleotides in length. Their secondary structure includes four short double-helical elements and three loops (D, anti-codon, and T loops).
Source: Rfam by way of RNAcentral
GCCUGGGUGGCUCAGUGGUUGAGCAUCUGCCUUUGGCUCAGGUUGUGAUCCCAGGAUCCUGGGAUCAAAUCCCACAUCGGGCU